RNAcentral lists this transfer RNA (75 nucleotides) under Sphingobium yanoikuyae. RNAcentral describes it as "tRNA-Thr". It matches the Rfam family "tRNA". From Rfam's summary of the family: Transfer RNA (tRNA) molecules are approximately 80 nucleotides in length. Their secondary structure includes four short double-helical elements and three loops (D, anti-codon, and T loops). The record is from RNAcentral. RNAcentral also lists the same sequence under 1 other name. Lineage: Bacteria; Pseudomonadati; Pseudomonadota; Alphaproteobacteria; Sphingomonadales; Sphingobiaceae.
GCUGGGGUAGCUCAACGGUAGAGCAGCCGCCUUGUAAGCGGUCGGUUGAGAGUUCAAGUCCCUCUCCUAGCACCA